This 71-nucleotide transfer RNA is filed under the name Heloderma horridum (Mexican beaded lizard). RNAcentral describes it as "tRNA-Tyr". It matches the Rfam family "tRNA". From Rfam's summary of the family: Transfer RNA (tRNA) molecules are approximately 80 nucleotides in length. The record is from RNAcentral. Lineage: Eukaryota; Metazoa; Chordata; Lepidosauria; Squamata; Helodermatidae.
GGUAAGAUGGCCGAGAGUUUAGGCGGCAGACUGUAGAUCUGUUUACAGGGGUUUAAUUCCCUCACUUAUCA